CCACUUCCAUUUUCAGGAAUAUCUAUCCACUGCUAAAACUAAAAAAUCAACUAUACUUUCAACAAGAAAUAUGAACUAUAAUUUGGAACAUAGGAAAAAUGAAAGUAAGCAUAUUUUUGUGAGAUAAAAGGGAGUAUAACAUUUCUUAAGUGCUUGUGGUCACUUUCACAGUAUUUCUAGUGCACAUAACUAAAUAAAAACUUAAUAAUUUUGUUUCAUAUAAUUCUCUUAUUACUUUAUUUGCUUAUAAAAACUUUUAUAGCUUAUUUGAAAAGUUAUUCCUUUUUAUUCAUGUUCGUGGUUUUUUUUCCGUAAGCACUUAGCUUCGAC
RNAcentral lists this long non-coding RNA (330 nucleotides) under Olea europaea (common olive). RNAcentral's name for it is "long non-coding RNA (OEUR_LNC005452)". Lineage: Eukaryota; Viridiplantae; Streptophyta; Magnoliopsida; Lamiales; Oleaceae. The record is from RNAcentral.